This 250-nucleotide ribosomal RNA is filed under the name uncultured bacterium. RNAcentral's name for it is "partial 16S ribosomal RNA". It matches the Rfam family "Bacterial small subunit ribosomal RNA", at positions 524 to 773 of the family's 1533-position model. The record is from RNAcentral.
UACGUAGGGUCCGAGCGUUGUCCGGAAUUAUUGGGCGUAAAGGGCUUGUAGGUGGUUUGUCACGUCGGGCGUGAAAACUCAGGGCUCAACCCUGAGCGUGCGUCCGAUACGGGCAGACUAGAGGUAUGCAGGGGAGAACGGAAUUCCUGGUGUAGCGGUGGAAUGCGCAGAUAUCAGGAGGAACACCGGUGGCGAAGGCGGUUCUCUGGGUAUUACUUGACGCUGAGGAGCGAAAGCAUGGGGAGCGAAC